This 269-nucleotide long non-coding RNA is filed under the name Elaeis guineensis (African oil palm). RNAcentral's name for it is "long non-coding RNA (EGUI_LNC050004)". The record is from RNAcentral. Lineage: Eukaryota; Viridiplantae; Streptophyta; Magnoliopsida; Arecales; Arecaceae.
CCCGUACUGAAUCUUAAUCAGCGAGAGUUCGUCCGAGGUCAAAGAGCUAGGAAUGGUGUCUGGUACAAAGAUCGAAUGAGGUUCGACCCUAAGUAUGGGUUCAUCUACAGUAUUAGGAUUUUGGGGGGCUGGAGCUGACAAACUUCUAGAACUGCUAGAGAAGGAAGUGUUGGAGGAUAUUUUGAAUCAAAUAAAAACUCUAAAAAAUCUCAAAAAAAUUAGAAAAAAAUAGGAAACAAGGCGCUCGUGGAGAAACCGAAUGGACAGAA